GCGGGGUUAGCUCAAUUGGAUAGAGCACCUGACUACGAAUCAGGAGGUUAGGGGUUCGACUCCCUUACUCCGUGCCA
Molecule: transfer RNA, 77 nt
Filed under: Pelagicoccus enzymogenes
Lineage: Bacteria; Pseudomonadati; Verrucomicrobiota; Opitutia; Puniceicoccales; Pelagicoccaceae
Also listed under: 3 other names
Description: tRNA-Arg
Rfam family: tRNA
About the family: Transfer RNA (tRNA) molecules are approximately 80 nucleotides in length.
Source: RNAcentral